CCGGCCCCGCGCGUGCCCAGCCCGGUGCCGCCGGGCCGGCGCGGCCGUUGUGUGCUCGGGCACUGCAGCCGCGCCCGCGUGUCGGGGGAGGCGGGAGGACAGAGCUCCGGGACAGCCCAGCACAGCCCUGUGCGCCGUUCCUCGGCUUGGCUGACACAGCGUGGCCAGCGCAGUGUGACACCUGCUACAGCACCGCCUAAGAAAGCCCAGCAAUGGGUGAUGCACACAAACACGGUGGGGCGGGAGCUGAGCCCAACACCAGAUACUCCAGCAGCUUCUGCAGGAAGAUGAGAACGGGCCUGUUGGGUCUGUGGUGGAUGCAGAGCUGGGACACACCAGCAGAACCCAAAGCAACUUUAUCUGGCCUCAGAGCACCAGGGACAGAAGAAAACCAGACCCCUUCUCACCCGCUGUCCAAGGCAAUCCCCUGUCUAACACUAACCAGUUCAGGGACUAAAGAAUGGUGCUCCUGUGCCUGCAACUGUCCUACUGCAGUAGGUUAAAUCCUUGCCCGAAGAUCAGAAAUCAGCUUCAAGAAAUGUGUUACUCAUGUUACCCAGCUGUGGGACACAGGAAAUGUAACAGUGACAUCUGCUCAGGUCUCCUGAAAUACUUGGAAGCAAACAGGCUUUUUAUGCUGAGAGUCACCAGCCUCUAGUUUGGACCAACAUAUUUUCAUCUGAGUAAGGUUCUACAAAAGACAACAUGGAGUUUAGAGAAAGACAGGCCAGGCUUUCAGUGACUUUUAUGGAGGGUGAAAAGCCCCAAACAAGUGAACUAUCUAUGGACAGGAGGAGGACUCCCAAGUGACUUGUUUGGUCUCAGCAGCAGUGAUCUGCAAAGGUUGUGGUCUUCAAGUUACAGUUGUUUCCCAUGGGAUGGUGGGUUUGUCUGUAGCAGGAAAGGAAGGUGCAAGCCUCAGCAUGGGGAUGGUUCCCUUUGCUAUGAGAAAGGGUACAUGUGGCUUUCAAGGCCCCCCCAGAACUAGGAAAAUGCAGCCCUUGCACAGUGAAGAGCCAGUGACAAGGAUCCGCAAUGGCCCUUAAAACUUUCAGCCAAGAGUGGUGGUGAUGAUGAUAUCGCCAACAUCAACACCAUCUCCUUCCCACAGCCACACAGUAACAGUGCUUUGUUGUUACGUGACAUUCUGAACUCUGCAGGGUUUAAUUCUUGUUCCCAGACUCUGCUAUCAAGGACUGUAUUCCACCCUGCUGUUACCUCUGUACAUAAUUCCUGGGCUGAAUUUCAGCUAAGAGCUCAUUUCUCCUAUCCACACACCAGUGUCCCACUGGUUGCAGUUUGCCUGAGCUAGGGAGCUGGAAGAAAAGCACUGUCCUUUGCAGAAAAUAAAAGCACCUAGGCCCACACCACUGAAAACCGUUCCCCGUCAAGGCACCGAGAUGGUUAUCCCAGAGGCAGGGAUCAGAGCCACAGCGUUCCCAAGGAAAGCGCUGCCUGCCAAGGACACGCACUCUUGAGUCAGCAUUACCUGUCACAGGAUCAGCACAACAGGAGGCAUCAUGCCAGACCAAAAUCAGGCUAACAGGUCUCUCUACCCUUAUUUAAAAUAAAGACAGGCUAACAAAGGCUUGCUGAGCCUACCUGGGCAGCACACACUGAUCUGAGCUACAGCACGGGCACAGCAGUAAACAGGCAAGUUGGCUUCUGUUCCAAUGGAAACAUCAGACAAAGUUUAAUGGUUCUCAAACAGACUACAACAAAGGCUGCAGGGAAAAACAUUUUAUUUCCAAGCAGAUUACAAAGAGCAGAGAAUAUAAGAGUAAAAUUAAAUUAAAAAAAUAGUUGAGUGCAUCUCUUUAAAA
Molecule: long non-coding RNA, 1823 nt
Organism: Corapipo altera (White-ruffed manakin)
Lineage: Eukaryota; Metazoa; Chordata; Aves; Passeriformes; Pipridae
Exons: 2
Source: RefSeq, a predicted model, not a curated record